Molecule: ribosomal RNA, 425 nt
Filed under: uncultured bacterium
Lineage: Bacteria
Description: partial 16S ribosomal RNA
Rfam family: Bacterial small subunit ribosomal RNA
Source: RNAcentral
GUGGGGAAUAUUGGACAAUGGGCGCAAGCCUGAUCCAGCCAUGCCGCGUGAGUGAUGAAGGCCUUAGGGUUGUAGAGCUCUUUCACCGAUGAAGAUAAUGACGGUCGUCGGAGAAGAAGCCCCGGCUAACUUCGUGCAAGCAGCCGCGGUAAUACGAAGGGGGCUAGCGUUGUUCGGAUUUACUGGGCGUAAAGCGCACGUAGGCGGUUUGUUAAGUCAGAGGUGAAAUCUCGGAGCUCAACUCCGGAACUGCCUUUGAUACUGGCAAUCUAGAGUCCGGAUGAGGUAAGUGGAACUCCUAGUGUAGAUGUGGAAUUCGUAGAUAUUAGGAAGAACACCAGUGGCGAAGGCGGCUUACUGGUCCGGAACUGACGCUGAGGUGCGAAAGCGUGGGGAGCAAACAGGAUUAGAUACCCGAGUAGUCC